CCUACGGGAGGCAGCAGUAGGGAAUCUUCCGCAUUGGACGAAAGACUGACGGAGCAACGCCGCGUGAGUGAAGAAGGUUUUCGGAUCGUAAAACUCUGUUGUCAGAGAAGAACAAGUUGGAGAGUAACUGCUCCAGCCUUGACGGUAUCUGACCAGAAAGCCACGGCUAACUACGUGCCAGCAGCCGCGGUAAU
This 194-nucleotide ribosomal RNA is filed under the name uncultured bacterium. Its description in RNAcentral is "partial 16S ribosomal RNA". It matches the Rfam family "Bacterial small subunit ribosomal RNA", at positions 338 to 524 of the family's 1533-position model. The record is from RNAcentral.